AGAAGUGAGAAUGCCGGUAUGAGUAGCGAAAGACAGGUGAGAAUCCUGUCCACCGAAUGACUAAGGUUUCCUGGGGAAGGCUCGUCCGCCCAGGGUUAGUCGGGACCUAAGCCGAGGCCGACAGGCGUAGGCGAUGGAUAACAGGUUGAUAUUCCUGUACCCGUUGUUUUUGUUUGAGCAAUGGAGGGACGCAGGAGGCUAAGGAAUGCAGACGAUCGGAA
This 221-nucleotide ribosomal RNA is filed under the name Enterococcus faecium. Its description in RNAcentral is "partial 23S ribosomal RNA". It matches the Rfam family "Bacterial large subunit ribosomal RNA", at positions 1284 to 1503 of the family's 2925-position model. The record is from RNAcentral. Lineage: Bacteria; Bacillati; Bacillota; Bacilli; Lactobacillales; Enterococcaceae.